This 301-nucleotide ribosomal RNA is filed under the name uncultured bacterium. RNAcentral describes it as "partial 16S ribosomal RNA". It matches the Rfam family "Bacterial small subunit ribosomal RNA", at positions 509 to 807 of the family's 1533-position model. The record is from RNAcentral.
CAGCAGCCGCGGGAAUACGGAGGGGGCUAGCGUUGUUCGGAAUUACUGGGCGUAAAGCGCACGUAGGCGGCUUGGUAAGUUAGAGGUGAAAGCCCAGGGCUCAACCCUGGAAUUGCCUUUAAGACUGCCGAGCUAGUAGGUGAGAGAGGUAAGUGGAAUUCCGAGUGUAGAGGUGAAAUUCGUAGAUAUUCGGAAGAACACCAGUGGCGAAGGCGGCUUACUGGCUCAUUCUAGACGCUGAGGUGCGAAAGCGUGGGGAGCAAACAGGAUUAGAGACCCGUGUAGUCCCUGUCUCUUAUAC